CAUUUAGAAAAUGGAAUGAUCUUAACUACAGGAGGGCUCCCAUUACACGUGCUACCAAAGCACUCCAUGCUAAAAACUGAACUGACAGAUAAGACUGGUCUAUACAUCUUCAACAACUAUACUUAUAAAUAUAUGAAUAAAUUAUGUUAGCCACAACACAGAUAUUAAGCAGGCACUUUGGUGAUGAUGUCAUCCUCCCUAUCAUCAUCACAUGAAGCUUGUGUCGAGAACAAAUGUCUCAAUUCGAAGCUUGUGUUGUUAAAGGGGUCAUAUGAUAUGAUUUCAAGUUUUCCUUUCUCUUUAGAGUGUUAAAAGCUCUUUUUGAAUAGAUAAGAUCCCUAAAGUUGCAAAGACUAAAGUCUCAAACACAAAGAGAUUAAGGGAAGUGUCAUGAAAUACAGUCAAGUAUGGUGACCCAUACUCAGAAUUCGUGCUCUGCAUUUAACCCAUCCAAAGUGAACACACACAGCAGUGAACAUACAACUGCUUAAAUAUCUGUCAAUGAUUCUUCAAACACAAGCUUGAGCAGUGUAGAGUAACAAGUGUAGGCUUUCCUGGCUCUGCUCACGACUCCUCCGACACAGCAACCUGUAUCGCAGUGGGACAUAUCCACCACCGAGACACUUCCUCCUGGGUGAUGGAGGCUACCUCUGUUUGGAGAGGCCCAUUGCCCUGUUGACACCCUUCAGGCAGCCUUGUAAGAGUAGAGGCACAACAGAGGUUUAAUGCUCAUCAUGCCAAAGCCCACUCAGUCAUUGAGCGAGCAUUUGGCAUCAUGAAGGCCAGGUGGAGGGCCAUCUUCUUCCACACCCUGGAGGUUGAAACAUCAUUUGUCCCAGAUGUUGUGAUGGCAUGCACCAUACUGCAUAACAUCUGUAUUGGAAAUGGUGACAUUAUGGCAGUAGAAGAAGAGCAACCUGAGCAAGAAGACGUGGCUGGGGAGACUACAAAUGGAAGUGCUCUGCGUGAACGCACUUCUGCACAACUGUCCAUCCUGCAGGACCAUGUUGUUGAUCUUGAUUACCAUGUACAAUACAAUUCAACUUAAAUACAAACAAGAUUGAUAUUACCCUUUAUCUUUAUUUCACAUGUCUGACCUUGUUAUUAUUGCAUUUGUUUUUGUUAUUGCCUUUGUAUGUUUUAUAUUCUUGUUCCACACAUUUAAUACUAAUAUCACAGGUCAAUGUAGCAUAAAGCAGUAUUUAUAAAAGUUA
Long non-coding RNA from Carassius gibelio (silver crucian carp), 1214 nucleotides. RefSeq lists it as uncharacterized. Lineage: Eukaryota; Metazoa; Chordata; Actinopteri; Cypriniformes; Cyprinidae. The transcript has 2 exons. The record is from RefSeq and is a predicted model, not a curated record.